Bordetella petrii is the source of this 84-nucleotide non-coding RNA. The record is from Rfam. NCBI's taxonomy places the organism in Bacteria, Pseudomonadati, Pseudomonadota, Betaproteobacteria, Burkholderiales, Alcaligenaceae.
GCCUUAUGCCUGAAAGGGCGACGUGGUGACACGGAGCGAGAAGUCAGCAGAAGCCAUAGUAGCCGCUUGUUCAGGGCGAAGGGC